AGACACGGCCCAGACUCCUACGGGAGGCAGCAGUAGGGAAUCUUCCGCAAUGGACGAAAGUCUGACGGAGCAACGCCGCGUGAGUGAUGAAGGUUUUCGGAUCGUAAAGCUCUGUUGUUAGGGAAGAACAAGUGCGAGAGUAACUGCUCGCACCUUGACGGUACCUAACCAGAAAGCCACGGCUAACUACGUGCCAGCAGCCGCGGUAAUACGUAGGUGGCAAGCGUUGUCCGGAAUUAUUGGGCGUAAAGGGCUCGCAGGCGGUUUCUUAAGUCUGAUGUGAAAGCCCCCGGCUCAACCGGGGAGGGUCAUUGGAAACUGGGAAACUUGAGUGCAGAAGAGGAGAGUGG
This 350-nucleotide ribosomal RNA is filed under the name Bacillus safensis. Its description in RNAcentral is "bacterial SSU rRNA". It matches the Rfam family "Bacterial small subunit ribosomal RNA", at positions 322 to 664 of the family's 1533-position model. The record is from RNAcentral. Lineage: Bacteria; Bacillati; Bacillota; Bacilli; Caryophanales; Bacillaceae.